GAUGAACGCUGGCGGCGUGCCUAAUACAUGCAAGUCGAGCGGCGCGUGGACGGGUGAGUAACACGUGGGUAACCUCCUAUAAGACUGGGGUAACUUCCGGAAACCGGUGCUAAACCCGCUACUUAGAGCUGGAUCCGCGCGGCAUUAGCUAGUUGGUAAGGUAACGGCUUACCAAGGCAACGAUGCCUAGCCGACCUGAGAGGGUGAUCAGCCACACUGGAACUGAGACACGGUCCAGACUCCUACGGGAGGCAGCAGUAGGGAAUCUUCCGCAAUGGGCGAAAGCCUGACGGAGCAACGCCGCGUGAGUGAUGAAGGUCUUCGGAUCGUAAAACUCUGUUAGUAGGGAAGCGUUACCUAAACAGAAAGCAACGGCUAACUCCGUGCCAGCAGCCGCGGUAAUUC
This 405-nucleotide ribosomal RNA is filed under the name uncultured bacterium. RNAcentral's name for it is "partial 16S ribosomal RNA". It matches the Rfam family "Bacterial small subunit ribosomal RNA", at positions 28 to 526 of the family's 1533-position model. The record is from RNAcentral.